This 430-nucleotide ribosomal RNA is filed under the name uncultured bacterium. RNAcentral's name for it is "bacterial SSU rRNA". It matches the Rfam family "Bacterial small subunit ribosomal RNA", at positions 355 to 775 of the family's 1533-position model. The record is from RNAcentral.
UGGGGAAUCUUGCGCAAUGGGCGAAAGCCUGACGCAGCGACGCCGCGUGGGGGAGGAAGCAUUUCGGUGUGUAAACCCCUGUCAGGAGGGAAGAACGGGCGGCCGAGGAAAUGCGGUCGUUUUGACGGUACCUCCAGAGGAAGCACCGGCUAACUCUGUGCCAGCAGCCGCGGUAAUACAGAGGGUGCGAGCGUUGUUCGGAAUUACUGGGCGUAAAGCGCGCGUAGGCGGUCGUUUAAGUCUUACCGUGAAAUGCCGGGGCUCAACCCCGCGCACGUCGGGGGAUACUGGACGACUGGAGACAAGUAGAGGCGAGCGGAAUUCCGGGUGUAGCGGUGGAAUGCGUAGAGAUCCGGAAGAACACCAGAGGCGAAGGCGGCUCGCUGGGCUUGGUCUGACGCUGAGGCGCGAAAGCGUGGGGAGCGAACAG